GACGAACCGUCCAAACGUUAUUCGGAAUCACUGGGCUUACAGAGUUCGUAGGCGGUCCAGAAAGUUGGGUGUGAAAUCCCUCGGCUUAACCGAGGAACUGCGCUUGAAAACUACUGGACUCGAGGGAGAUAGAGGAAAGCGGAACUGAUGGUGGAGCGGUGAAAUGCGUUGAUAUCAUCAGGAACACCGGUGGCGAAGGCGGUUCUCUGGGCCUUACCUGACGCUGAGGAGCGAAAGCAUGGGAGCAAAC
This 250-nucleotide ribosomal RNA is filed under the name uncultured bacterium. RNAcentral describes it as "partial 16S ribosomal RNA". It matches the Rfam family "Bacterial small subunit ribosomal RNA", at positions 524 to 773 of the family's 1533-position model. The record is from RNAcentral.